UUGUAGAGUAAGGGUGCUGGU
Molecule: non-coding RNA, 21 nt
Filed under: Arabidopsis thaliana (thale cress)
Lineage: Eukaryota; Viridiplantae; Streptophyta; Magnoliopsida; Brassicales; Brassicaceae
Source: RNAcentral